CUGUCAAGGGCGUUGAUCCCUAGGGUAGCUGGCCCCUGGCUACGGAGUUCGUAGCCACGGUCCGUCUUCUCCGGCGAGGUUUGCCCCUCCGCCGCAGGCUUGAGAGUUACGAGAGAAGGGAAGAAUUGGGACAAUAACCAAAUUGCUUAAUUUCUGGAAUGUGCCGAUUACAGAGAUAUAUGGCCUAAGGCCCAACUAACCAAAGAGCUAAUUGCUCCUAAAUGCAAGGGCUAAUAACAGGAAACUAAUUAUCCUUUCCAUCCUAGCCACUGACCGUGGCCUGAUCUGCCGCAGCCGCGCGUUCUGCCUCUGCGCGCGCCGCGCGUUCCGCAGCUCGGCGAACGUCUCGCGCUCUGCGGCGUCGCACAUACGUGCGCCCCCACAUGACAUCUCCCCCUCCGUCGAGAGGCAGCUCGUCCUCGAGCUGUAGAGCAGGGUAGCGGGCGAAGAAUGGCUCCCUGUCCUCCCAGGUAGCAGACGCCGCUGAAGUGCCCUUCCACUGGACCAGAACUUGGCGCACCCCACGGGCCAAGCGGGCUUUGAUGACUCGCUCGGGCUCACAGGCCACCGCGCCGUGGUGCACGUUCGGCAGCGGCGGGGGAGCGUCUGGAGGCGCGCCGUGCCACUUCUUGAGCAGCCCGAUGUGGAACACGUCGUGAAGGCGGGCGCCGGCCGGCAAUGCCAAGCGAGCAGCCACCUCGUUGAUCAUCUCCGCGAUGCGGUAGGGCCCGAAAUACCGCAGCUUCAGCUUGCCGGAGACUGCCAGCGACAGGGACGCUGGGGCGCGCUGGCGGAGACGCAGAAGGACCCAGUCCCCAACCUGAAACGACACUGCACGAUGGGACUUGUCGUAGUACUUCUUCUGGAUGGCCUGAGCUUGUUCCAGGCGGUAGCGAAUGUCCUCCAGGAACUCUGAGCGCUCCUCCAUGCUUUUGGCCACAGCUGCCACGCGGGUGUCCCCCGGUUCAUACGACCGGAUGGAGGGAGGGUCGCGGCCAUAGACCACCCGGAACGGGGUAUGCCGCAGCGAGGUCUGGUAGGCGGUGUUGAAGACAAAUUCCGCCCACGGGAGCCAGCGCAGCCACUGCCGGGGGCGAUCACCAGUAAGGCACCGCAGGUACAUGAUGAUGACACGGUUGGAUGCCUCCGACUGGCCGUCGGACUGAGGGUGGAAGGCCGUCGUCAUGUGGAGCUUCGUACCCACCAGACGCAUCAGCUCGCUCCAGAACGCGGACGUGAAGACCGGGUCGCGAUCCGACACCAUGGAUUGUGGAACGCCAUGGAGACGGACGAUCUCGGCGAAGAAGACUUGAGCGACGGAUUCCGCCGAGUAUGGGUGCGCCAAAGGGAUGAAGUGGCAGUACUUGCUGAAUCUGUCCACCACAGUCAGUAUGACGGACUUGCCGCGAACACGGGGCAGCGCUUCGACAAAGUCCAGUGCGACGUCAGUCCACACUCCUUGUGGCACCGGCAGUGGAAGGAGAAGACCGGCAGGCUGGAGGUGCUCGGCCUUGUAGCGCUGACAGACCUCGCAGGUCCGCACAAAAUCCUGCACAACGCUCUUCAUGUUAGGAAAGUGGAAAUCCCGGCGGAGUCGGUGGAGAGUGCGCUGGACGCCUUCAUGUCCCUCCUCAUGGACAGCGCGCAGGACCUCCUGGAGCAGGGGCGACGCUGGGGGCAGGUACAGGCGGCCAGCGAACAGGACCAUGCCGUCGGCCAUGGACCACGGCCCUGCGCGUGUGCCGGAGCGGAUCUCCGCCUGUAGCGCCACCAGCGCCGGGUCGACGUCCUGUGCUUGGCGAAGCCGCUCGAUGAAGUCGAACCGUGGCGCAGACAGCACCAAGACAGAAGCGUCCUCGGUGGUGUCGCGACGAGACAGCGCGUCCGCCACAGUAUUUGCUGCGCCCGGCUUGUACUCCACCGUGAAGUCGAAGCCCAGCAGUUUGCCCACCCAAUGGUGCUGGGGAAUGGUGGACAGCCGCUGAUCCAGAAGAUAUUUCAGGCUGUAGUGGUCGGUCUUGACGGUGAAGUGCCGGCCCCAAAGAUACGGCCUCCAAUGCCGGACGGCCAGCACCAAGCCGAUGAGCUCGCGCUCGUACGCAGCGAGGGCGCGGUGACGUGGCGCCACAGGACGGCUGAAGAAGGCGAGCGGAUGGCCGUCUUGAAUGAGGACCGCGCCAAAGCCGUGGGAGGAGGCGUCGCACUCCACGGUGAAGGCCUUGGUGAAGUCCGGCAUGGCGAGGAUCGGCGCCGAGGAGACCGCGGCUUUGAGGGCGUCGAACGCCGCCGUGGCUGCCUCGGUCCAGGCGAAUCCUUCCUUCUUGAGCAGGGCGGUGAGGGGCGCAGCGAUGGUGCCGUAGUUGUGGACGAAUUUGCGGUAGUACCCCGCCAAGCCGAGGAAGCCGCGCACCGCACGCGCCGAGCGUGGCUGAGGCCACUCCCGAAUGGCCUGGACCUUCGCCGGGUCCAUGGCAACACCAGCAGCCGAGAUAACGUGGCCAAGGUAUGCCACGGAGUCGACGCCAAAGGCACACUUGCUGCGCUUGAUGAAGAGUUUGUGCUCCCUGAGCACCGUCAGCACAGCCCGGAGGUGACGGAGAUGAUCAGCCCAUGUGUCACUGUAGAUCAAAAUAUCAUCAAAAAACACAAGGACAAAGCGGCGCAAGAAGGAGCGGAGCACAUCGUUCAUGAGGGCUUGGAAUGUCGCCGGGGCGUUGCAAAGCCCGAACGGCAUGACCAAGAACUCAUACAGCCCGUCGUGGGUGCGGAACGCCGUCUUGUGGAUAUCUUCGGGCCGCAUGCGCACUUGGUGAUAGCCGGACCGCAGGUCGAGCUUGGAGAAGAAGCGCGCGCCAUGGAGCUCGUCCAGAAGCUCGUCGACGACGGGGAUCGGAAAAGCGUCCUUGACGGUAAGCGCAUUUAGCGCUCUGUAGUCGACGCAGAAGCGCCACGAACCGUCCGCCUUCUUGACGAGGAGGACCGGCGACGAGAACGCCGAGUCGCUGCGGCGGACGAUGCCUUGGGAGAUCAUGGCGGCGCAUUGCCGCUCGAGCUCAUCUUUAUGAGCCGCCGGGUAACGGUAGGGCCGGACAGCCACCGGCGACGUGCCCUGCUUGAGGACGAUGGCGUGGUCACGGCCGCGCUGUGGAGGCAGGCCUGUGGGCUCGGUGAAGACGUCGGCGAAGGAGUCGAGGAGCCCCCCCAAUAGGGAGUCGUCUGCGCUGGCCGCGCGGACUGCCGGCCCGUCCUGGUUUGGCGCGCCCUGCCAGCAGAUGGUACGGCCCUCCAGGUCGAACGUCAGGGCGCGUGUGGUGACAUCCCAGGACAUCCGGCCCAGCUUGGCCAUCCACUGGGUGCCGAGGACGAUGUCAUAUCCGGCGAGAGGCAUGACGUACAAGUCGACGUGGAACGGCAUGCCCUCGAUGGUGAUGGGCGCGUGGCGGAGGACGCCUGGGCAGGCCACCUUUUCGCCGUUGGCGACCGUGGCCGUCAUCCGUGGCCGCGGCUGGACGGACAGCCCGGUGCGAGCGGCCGCCGACUCGCCGAUGAAGUUGUGGGUCGACCCUGUAUCAACCAAGGCGACGAGCGUGGUCGCGCCCAGCUGAACCCGGAGCAGGAUCGGGUGUCCCACGGCGACGCCGGCCACGGCAUGGAGAGAAAACACCGGUGCCUCCGCGUCGACCUCGUCCUCCGGCGCUUCCUCGUCCUCGUCCUCCACGCUGUCCACAAAGAACAGACGUUUGCAAACCUUGUUGUGGCCGCGACUGUACUUUUCGUCGCAGUUGAAGCACAAGCCGAGGCGGCGACGUUCCUCCUGUUCGGCCUGGUUCAGGCGCCUGACCGGCCGGUUAUCAGCAGCGGUGGCGGCGGGCGGCGCGGGCUUGGCAGCCCCAGCUGGAGCCGGCAAGGCGAGUUGCGGCCGAGGCGCAGGUGCCGGCAGGACACCCCGACCAGGAGCUUUGGCGGGAACGGCGGUGUACUGCUCGAUCAGCUCGAACUGGCGGGCGAGGCUCAUGGCAGCCGCCAGCGACUGGGGAUUCUGCAUCUGGACUUGGAGGCUGAGCGGAGGAAGAAGGCCUCCGGUGAACAGCUGCACUCGCUGUUCUUCGUCGAGGCGACCGGCGCGGGGGAGCAGGGCCUGGAACCGGUCCUGGUAGUCCUCCACUGUGCCCGUGCGGCGACAGGAGGACAGCUCGAACAGGGGAGCGGACCGCAGAGGUGGCCCGUAGCGGAGAUUGAGGAGCUCCUUGAAGCGAGUCCACGUCGGCGUGCCGCGCUCGUCUUCUUGGACCUGCAUGUACCAAAGUUGGGCGCCCUCGAGGAGGUUGUGGGAGGCCAUCCAAACCUUCUCCUCUUGCAUGAUUCGCUGUUGCAGGAAGAAGGAUUCGCAGCGGUUGAUGAAGAUUAGCGGGUCGCUCUUGCCGUCGUAGUGCGGGAAGUCGGGUCGCCAGUGCUUGGGCGGCCGGUCUGGCGGCUGAUCGCCAAAGCCGGGGCGGGCGCCGGACGUAGAUGAACUGGUGGUGGUGGCGAGCGCAGCGAUCGCCUUGGCGUUGGCCGCGAUGGAGGCGGCGUUGGCCUUGAUCGACUCGUGCAUCAGCGCCAUGUCCUUGGAGAGGGCCUCGAUGGAGGCCUUGAGGUCGUCACCCAUGUGGUGGGCCGAGCAGGACGCGACUGAGGGUGAGGACGCAGGGGAGGCGGCGGCAGCAGGUGGGAAAUUGGGCGGAGCGACAGCAGGGGCGGCGGCUGGAGUGGUGGUGGAGUCGUAGAUGGGAUCGGUGGUGGCUGGGGCAGAGGUGGAGUCGGCAACGGAAGACGAAGAUCGACGUGACCGCGAUACCAGGUUGUCAAGGGCGUUGAUCCCUAGGGUAGCUGGCCCCUGGCUACGGAGUUCGUAGCCACGGUCCGUCUUCUCCGGCGAGGUUUGCCCCUCCGCCGCAGGCUUGAGAGUUACGAGAGAAGGGAAGAAUUGGGACAAUAACCAAAUUGCUUAAUUUCUGGAAUGUGCCGAUUACAGAGAUAUAUGGCCUAAGGCCCAACUAACCAAAGAGCUAAUUGCUCCUAAAUGCAAGGGCUAAUAACAGGAAACUAAUUAUCCUUUCCAUCCUAGCCACUGACCGUGGCCUGAUCUGCCGCAGCCGCGCGUUC
This 5145-nucleotide long non-coding RNA is filed under the name Oryza sativa (Asian cultivated rice). RNAcentral describes it as "long non-coding RNA (OSAT_LNC000453)". The record is from RNAcentral. Lineage: Eukaryota; Viridiplantae; Streptophyta; Magnoliopsida; Poales; Poaceae.